AACGAACGCUGGCGGCAUGCCUAACACAUGCAAGUCGAACGAGACCUUCGGGUCUAGUGGCGCACGGGUGCGUAACGCGUGGGAAUCUGCCCUUGGGUUCGGAAUAACAGUUGGAAACGACUGCUAAUACCGGAUGAUGACGUAAGUCCACAGAUUUAUCGCCCAAGGAUGAGCCCGCGUAGGAUUAGCUAGUUGGUGAGGUAAAGGCUCACCAAGGCGACGAUCCUUAGCUGGUCUGAGAGGAUGAUCAGCCACACUGGGACUGAGACACGGCCCAGACUCCUACGGGAGGCAGCAGUGGGGAAUAUUGGACAAUGGGCGAAAGCCUGAUCCAGCAAUGCCGCGUGAGUGAUGAAGGCCUUAGGGUUGUAAAGCUCUUUUACCCGGGAUGAUAAUGACAGUACCGGGAGAAUAAGCUCCGGCUAACUCCGUG
This 433-nucleotide ribosomal RNA is filed under the name uncultured bacterium. RNAcentral describes it as "partial 16S ribosomal RNA". It matches the Rfam family "Bacterial small subunit ribosomal RNA", at positions 29 to 507 of the family's 1533-position model. The record is from RNAcentral.